GAUGAACGCUGGCGGCGUGCUUAACACAUGCAAGUCGAACGAUGAAGCCCAGCUUGCUGGGUGGUUUAGUGGCGAACGGGUGAGUAACACGUGAGUAACCUGCCCUUAACUCUGGGAUAAGCCUGGUAAACUGGGUCUAAUACCGGCUAGGAGCGCCUACCGCAUGGUGGGUGUUGGAAAGAUUUAUCGUUUUUGGAUGGACUCGCGGCCUAUCAGCUUGUUGGUGAGGUAAUGGCUCACCAAGGCGACGACGGGUAGCCGGCCUGGGAGGGUGACCGGCCACAAUGGGACUGAGAGACGGCCCAGACUCCUACGGGAGGCAGCAGUGGGGAAUAUUGCACAAUGGGCGAAAGCCUGAUGCAGCGACGCCGGGUGAGGGAUGACGGGCUUCGGGUUGUAAACCUCUUUCAGUAGGGAAGAAGAGAAAGUGACGGUACCUGAAGAAGAAGCACCGGCUAACUACGUG
This 466-nucleotide ribosomal RNA is filed under the name uncultured bacterium. RNAcentral describes it as "partial 16S ribosomal RNA". It matches the Rfam family "Bacterial small subunit ribosomal RNA", at positions 28 to 507 of the family's 1533-position model. The record is from RNAcentral.